Molecule: ribosomal RNA, 377 nt
Filed under: uncultured bacterium
Lineage: Bacteria
Description: bacterial SSU rRNA
Rfam family: Bacterial small subunit ribosomal RNA
Source: RNAcentral
AAACGUAGGAGGCGAGCGUUAUCCGGAUUUACUGGGCGUAAAGCGCGUGUAGGCGGCUCGACAAGUUGGAUGUGAAGGCUCCUGGCUUAACUGGGAGAGGUCGUUCAAAACUGUCGGGCUAGAGUAUGAGAGAGGGAGGUGGAAUUCCAGGUGUAGUGGUGAAAUGCGUAGAUAUCUGGAGGAACACCAGUGGCGAAAGCGGCCUCCUGGCUCAAAACUGACGCUCAGACGCGAAAGCUAGGGUAGCAAACGGGAUUAGAGACCCCGGUAGUCCUAGCUGUAAACGAUGUGGACUUGGCGUUGGUGGUGUUAAAUCCAUCAGUGCCGGAGCAAACGCGUUAAGUCCACCGCCUGGGGACUACGGCCGCAAGGUUAAA